UACACGAGCGGCGAACGGGUGAGUAACACGUGGGUGAUCUGCCCUGUACUUCGGGAUAAGCCUGGGAAACUGGGUCUAAUACCGGAUAUGACCUACGGAUGCAAUGAUCUUGGGUGGAAAGAUUUAUCGGUACAGGAUGGGCCCGCGGCCUAUCAGCUUGUUGGUGGGGUAAUGGCCUACCAAGGCGACGACGGGUAGCCGGCCUGAGAGGGCGACCGGCCACACUGGGACUGAGACACGGCCCAGACUCCUACGGGAGGCAGCAGUGGGGAAUAUUGCACAAUGGGCGAAAGCCUGAUGCAGCGACGCCGCGUGAGGGAUGACGGCCUUCGGGUUGUAAACCUCUUUCGACAGGGACGAAGCGCAAGUGACGGUACCUGUAGAAGAAGCACCGGCCAACUACGUGCCAGCAGCCGCGGUAAUACGUAGGGUGCGAGCGUUGUCCGGAAUUACUGGGCGUAAAGAGCUUGUAGGCGGUUCGUCGCGUCGUUCGUGAAAACUUGGGGCUCAACCCCAAGCUUGCGGGCGAUACGAGCGGACUAGAGUACUUCAGGGGAGACUGGAAUUCCUGGUGUAGCGGUGAAAUGCGCAGAUAUCAGGAGGAACACCGGUGGCGAAGGCGGGUCUCUGGGAAGUAACUGACGCUGAGAAGCUAAAGCGUGGGUAGCUAACAGGAUCAGAUACGCUGGUAGUCCACGCCGUAAACGGUGGGUACUAGGUGUGGG
Molecule: ribosomal RNA, 725 nt
Filed under: Nocardia neocaledoniensis
Lineage: Bacteria; Bacillati; Actinomycetota; Actinomycetes; Mycobacteriales; Nocardiaceae
Description: bacterial SSU rRNA
Rfam family: Bacterial small subunit ribosomal RNA
Source: RNAcentral